Molecule: ribosomal RNA, 247 nt
Filed under: Escherichia coli 7-233-03_S3_C3
Lineage: Bacteria; Pseudomonadati; Pseudomonadota; Gammaproteobacteria; Enterobacterales; Enterobacteriaceae
Description: partial 16S ribosomal RNA
Source: RNAcentral
UAACGCUUGCUGAUAACGUGCAGCUUUCCCUUCAGGCGUGAUUCAUACAGCGGCCAGCCAUCCGUCAUCCAUACCACGACCUCAAAGGCCGACAGCAGGCUCAGAAGACGCUCCAGUGUGGCCAGAGUGCGUUCACCGAAGACGUGCGCCACAACCGUCCUCCGUAUCCUGUCAUACGCGUAAAACAGCCAGCGCUGACGUGAUUUAGCACCGACGUAGCCCCACUGUUCGUCCAUUUCAGCGCAGA